ACAACGGCGGUGGAGCAUGUGGUUUAAUUCGAUGAUACGCGAGGAACCUUACCUGGGCUCAAAUGUAUGUUGACGUAUUCUGAAAGGGAUACUUCUUCGGACAAUAUACAAGGUGCUGCAUGGUUGUCGUCAGCUCGUGCCGUGAGGUGUCGGGUUAAGUCCCAUAACGAGCGCAACCCCUAUCAUUAGUUGCCAUCAGGUCAAGCUGGGGACUCUAAUGAAACUGCCUACGCAAGUAGUGAGGAAGGUGGGGAUGACGUCAAAUCAGCACGGCCCUUACGUCCAGGGCUACACACGUGCUACAAUGGCCGAUACAGAGGGCAGCUACCUGGUGACAGGAUGCAAAUCUCCAAAGUCGGUCUCAGUUCGGAUCGGAGUCUGCAACCCGACUCCGUGAAGUUGGAUUCGCUAGUAAUCGCGCAUCAGCCAUGGCGCGGUGAAUACGUUCCCGGGCCUU
RNAcentral lists this ribosomal RNA (457 nucleotides) under uncultured Sphingobacteriales bacterium. Its description in RNAcentral is "bacterial SSU rRNA". It matches the Rfam family "Bacterial small subunit ribosomal RNA", at positions 925 to 1382 of the family's 1533-position model. The record is from RNAcentral. Lineage: Bacteria; Pseudomonadati; Bacteroidota; Sphingobacteriia; Sphingobacteriales.